GCGUGGCGGCGCUAGAAUGCAGUCGAACGGUAACAGGAAGCAGCUUGCUUCUUUGCUGACGAGUGGCGGACGGGUGAGUAAUGUCUGGGAAACUGCCUGAUGGAGGGGGAUAACUACUGGAAACGGUAGCUAAUACCGCAUAACGUCGCAAGACCAAAGAGGGGGACCUUCGGGCCUCUUGCCAUCGGAUGUGCCCAGAUGGGAUUAGCUAGUAGGUGGGGUAACGGCUCACCUAGGCGACGAUCCCUAGCUGGUCUGAGAGGAUGACCAGCCACACUGGAACUGAGACACGGUCCAGACUCCUACGGGAGGCAGCAGUGGGGAAUAUUGCACAAUGGGCGCAAGCCUGAUGCAGCCAUGCCGCGUGUAUGAAGAAGGCCUUCGGGUUGUAAAGUACUUUCAGCGGGGAGGAAGGGAGUAAAGUUAAUACCUUUGCUCAUUGACGUUACCCGCAGAAGAAGCACCGGCUAACUCCGUGCCAGCAGCCGCGGUAAUACGGAGGGUGCAAGCGUUAAUCGGAAUUACUGGGCGUAAAGCGCACGCAGGCGGUUUGUUAAGUCAGAUGUGAAAUCCCCGGGCUCAACCUGGGAACUGCAUCUG
RNAcentral lists this ribosomal RNA (600 nucleotides) under Escherichia coli. RNAcentral describes it as "bacterial SSU rRNA". It matches the Rfam family "Bacterial small subunit ribosomal RNA", at positions 35 to 629 of the family's 1533-position model. Lineage: Bacteria; Pseudomonadati; Pseudomonadota; Gammaproteobacteria; Enterobacterales; Enterobacteriaceae. The record is from RNAcentral.